This 497-nucleotide ribosomal RNA is filed under the name uncultured bacterium. RNAcentral's name for it is "partial 16S ribosomal RNA". It matches the Rfam family "Bacterial small subunit ribosomal RNA", at positions 28 to 507 of the family's 1533-position model. The record is from RNAcentral.
GACGAACGCUGACGGCGUGCCUAAUACAUGCAAGUAGAACGCUGAAGAGAGGAGCUUACUCUUCUUGGAUGAGUUGCGAACGGGUGAGUAACGCGUAGGUAACCUGCCUUGUAGCGGGGGAUAACUAUUGGAAACGAUAGCUAAUACCGCAUAACAAUGGAUGACACAUGUCAUUUAUUUGAAAGGGGCAAUUGCUCCACUACAAGAUGGACCUGCGUUGUAUUAGCUAGUAGGUGAGGUAAUGGCUCACCUAGGCGACGAUACAUAGCCGACCUGAGAGGGUGAUCGGCCACACUGGGACUGAGACACGGCCCAGACUCCUACGGGAGGCAGCAGUAGGGAAUCUUCGGCAAUGGGGGCAACCCUGACCGAGCAACGCCGCGUGAGUGAAGAAGGUUUUCGGAUCGUAAAGCUCUGUUGUAAGUCAAGAACGGGUGUGAGAGUGGAAAGUUCACACUGUGACGGUAGCUUACCAGAAAGGGACGGCUAACUACGUG